GCAGUAGCUCAGUGGUAGAGCAUCUUCUUUACAUGCAAAAGAUCCCAGGUUCAAUCCCUGACAUCUCCA
This is a non-coding RNA of Podarcis lilfordi (Lilford's wall lizard), 69 nucleotides long. NCBI's taxonomy places the organism in Eukaryota, Metazoa, Chordata, Lepidosauria, Squamata, Lacertidae. The record is from the annotation of a GenBank genome assembly.